GGGGUGAUGGCCUACCAAGCGACGACGGGUAGCCGGCCCGAGAGGGUGAUCGGCCACAUUGGGACUGAGAUACGGCCCAGACUCCUACGGGAGGCAGCAGUGGGGAAUAUUGCACAAUGGGCGGAAGCCUGAUGCAGCGACGCCGCGUGAGGGAUGACGGCCUUCGGGUUGUAAACCUCUUUCAGCAGGGACGAAGCGUAAGUGACGGUACCUGCAGAAGAAGCACCGGCUAACUAUGUGCCAGCAGCCGCGGUAAUACGUAUGGUGCGAGCGUUGUCCGGAAUUAUUGGGCGUAAAGAGCUCGUAGGCGGCUUGUCGCGUCGGUUGUGAAAGCCCGGGGCUUAACCCCGGGUCUGCAGUCGAUACGGGCAGGCUAGAGUUCGGUAGGGGAGAUCGGAAUUCCUGGUGUAGCGGUGAAAUGCGCAGAUAUCAGGAGGAACACCUGUGGCGAAGGCGGCUUGCUGGGCCUUUUCUGACGCUGAAGUGCGAAAGCGUGGGGAGCAAACAGGAUUAGAUACCCUGGUAGUCCACGCCGUAAACGGUGGGUAC
RNAcentral lists this ribosomal RNA (549 nucleotides) under uncultured Actinomycetes bacterium. Its description in RNAcentral is "bacterial SSU rRNA". It matches the Rfam family "Bacterial small subunit ribosomal RNA", at positions 254 to 816 of the family's 1533-position model. The record is from RNAcentral. Lineage: Bacteria; Bacillati; Actinomycetota; Actinomycetes.